GACGAACGCUGGCGGCGUGCUUAACACAUGCAAGUCGAACGGAAAGGCCCCCUUGGGGGUACUCGAGUGGCGAACGGGUGAGUAACACGUGAGUAACCUGCCCUUGACUUCGGGAUAACUUCAGGAAACUGGGGCCAAUACCGGAUAGGAAUCCUUGCUGCAUGGUGGGGGUUGGAAAGCUUCGGCGGUUUUGGAUGGACUCGCGGCUUAUCAGCUUGUUGGUGGGGUAGUGGCUUACCAAGGCUUUGACGGGUAGCCGGCCUGAGAGGGCGACCGGCCACAUUGGGACUGAGAUACGGCCCAGACUCCUACGGGAGGCAGCAGUGGGGAAUAUUGCACAAUGGGCGGAAGCCUGAUGCAGCAACGCCGCGGGCGGGAUGACGGCCUUCGGGUUGUAAACCGCUUUCAGCAGGGGCGAAGCUUGUGGUGACGGUACCUGCAGAAGAAGCACCGGCUAACUACGUG
This 465-nucleotide ribosomal RNA is filed under the name uncultured bacterium. RNAcentral describes it as "partial 16S ribosomal RNA". It matches the Rfam family "Bacterial small subunit ribosomal RNA", at positions 28 to 507 of the family's 1533-position model. The record is from RNAcentral.